RNAcentral lists this long non-coding RNA (598 nucleotides) under Mus spicilegus (steppe mouse). Its description in RNAcentral is "lncRNA (ENSMSIG00000029802.1)". Lineage: Eukaryota; Metazoa; Chordata; Mammalia; Rodentia; Muridae. The record is from RNAcentral.
CUGUAAAUGUAGCGGAUAGCGGUUGUCACGUUUGUUUCCGUAAAGGGAUGUCAGUCAUCCUAGGAGACUAAAGGCAGUGGUGGGGCUUCUGCACCUGGCUUCUGGACCCUUCGCCCGCAUCCGGGCUGCAGCCGUGUGUGUGUCUGUGUCUGCAAACAAGUUCAUCCCCUUUCCACUUAUGUGGAAAAGCUAGGAGCCAAAUGUUUGUAUUAACCAAGGAGAUUUGAAAACCAGCAGCAGUUUUCAGCAAGUCCUGGAUGAGUGGAACUAAAGUUGCAGAUGGAACUAAGGUACACAAUCAGAGUGACCCAAAAGGUGAAGAAUUCAACCUUCCAUUGCUGCCUUUGAAGAGAGAGGAAGGCACCAUUAGUCAAAGAAUGCCAUUAGCUUACAGGAGCUGGAAAGAUCAGAGGAAUAGCUGGAUCUCUAGAGUCCCUGGAAAGACUGAAGCCCUGAUGAUUAAUGCCUGCAGUUUAGUCCCAUGAAACCCUUUUGGACUUCUGUUCUCACAACUGUAUAAUGAUACAUUUGUGCUGUUCUAAGUUACUAAAUUUGUGUUGGCUUCUAUAGCAAUUGCAGAUAACAAAAUAUGUGAAAC